Molecule: ribosomal RNA, 468 nt
Filed under: uncultured bacterium
Lineage: Bacteria
Description: partial 16S ribosomal RNA
Rfam family: Bacterial small subunit ribosomal RNA
Source: RNAcentral
GACGAACGCUGGCGGCGUGCUUAACACAUGCAAGUCGAACGGAAAGGCCCUGCUUUUGUGGGGUGCUCGAGUGGCGAACGGGUGAGUAACACGUGAGUAACCUGCCCUUGACUUUGGGAUAACUUCAGGAAACUGGGGCUAAUACCGGAUAGGAGCUCCUGCUGCAUGGUGGGGGUUGGACAGUUUCGGCGGUUGGGGAUGGACUCGCGGCUUAUCAGCUUGUUGGUGGGGUAGUGGCUUACCAAGGCUUUGACGGGUAGCCGGCCUGAGUGGGUGACCGGCCAGAUUUGGACUGAGAUACGGCGCAGACUCCUAAGGGAGGCAGCAGUGGGGAGUAUUGCACAAUGGGCGGAAGUCUGAUGCAGCAACGCCGCGUGCUGGAUGACGGCCUUCGGGUUGUAAACCGCUUUCGCCUGUGACGAAGCGUGAGUGACGGUAAUGGGUAAAGAAGCACCGGCUAACUACGUG